This 4068-nucleotide long non-coding RNA is filed under the name Populus tremula. RNAcentral's name for it is "long non-coding RNA (PTRE_LNC000244)". The record is from RNAcentral. Lineage: Eukaryota; Viridiplantae; Streptophyta; Magnoliopsida; Malpighiales; Salicaceae.
GUGCAGCGAGUCUACGAUUUGCCCCUUUAAAGCCUUGGUAUUCAGACACCAAUCAGUAAGAUCAUGUCUAGAAUCAAGACAUUCAAGUAGAUUUAGAUAGCUUGUUUUCAGGUGGAAAUUGCGCAAAGUGGGCUCAAUGGUGAUAGAAAAUCAGUAUGGGUAUUUGCUGACUCCUUUUCCUCUCUCUUUUCAAUUUUGAUAGGCACAACAUAACCAGUCAUACUUCAAUACACGCUACUUGUGCACAAUCAAUAAGGUGAACCAUACUUCUACACACUCUACUUAUGAUCCCUGCAUUAUGUUCACAUAAACCUCCAAAACUAGGAUGUACAAGGAAAAUAGAUUUAAAUAUGAAUAAUCUUAUCCCAAUGAAAAGCAGAGUUCCAAUUAUUGAAAAGAUUACAAUAGGCAUACCCAGCAGACAAAUUAAGCAUUAUCUAAUUAAGCAACCAUCAAAAAAUGGAGCAAAAUAGACUUAUCAAAGCCCCAAUAAUCAAUGGCCCAAGGUGGACUUCUUGCAACCCAAUCAGACUUAGCCAACUCUAUUGAUUUAUAUUGUGAUCCAAUAAGCCAUUUAUAUUUCUGGAAAAAUAAAAAACAUAAACAAUAUGUUAAACCCAUCCAACUAAUUUUCCCCCAGAUAUAUUUUUAUCAAUUGAAAAUGCAAAAUUGAUAUAUCCAUGAUGGAUCAUCCAUGUUAAUCUAAUUAACAUGAUAACACCAAUAAGCAUUUGUAGAAAUAAGCAUACUUCUUUAACUACUAGUACUUUAACAAUCCUUUAAAAUAAAAUAUGUACCACAUAAACAAACUUUAAUUAUUUGUCCAGCUCACACAUAUAUAUGUAUAGCAAAGAAAUCAGUACUUUUAAAGUUCAUGGGUCAUGUUCUUAAGAUUUAUUGGGCUGCUAUUUAAGGCUUUGAGGAGGCUGUCAAGGACUUCUAGACAAGGAUUAAAUGAGUUUUAAAAUGAGGUCAUACUAAUUAACAAGCUUCAGCACAUAAAUCUUGUAAAGCUUUCUCAUUGAAUUCAUUUUCGAAUAUAUUUUAAGCAUUAAAAUUGAAUUCAAUAACAUGAUUUAAUAAUUUAAGAGUUUUUUGUGCUAAUGGAGAUGGAUUCGAUGGUUGGCUGCAAGGUAAUUGGUAAUUUACUAGUUUAUUAUGAUCACUUUGUUUGCUUUUGUUUUUAGAUUGGAUUAAGUGUGGUUUUUUUAAUAUUAAUUCUGAGCUGACAAAUAUUUGUGAUGGAAAUGAAUUUUAUUUUGUUAUUUCAUACAUGCGUGUGUGUAUGUGUAUGUGUAUGUGUGAAUGAUGUUUAUAUGCUUAGCUUGUAGGAAAAGUUGGCAUAUUUUAGAAUUAAAGAGUUAAGGAUAUUUUAUCUCUGUUGGGUCUUUCAAAGCAAGGGAAGAAGCAGGUAUUCUGCCUUUCUCUGGUCAGUUUUUUUUGCCUUUAUACUGUAACUGUUUGUGCAAAGAUUUGCAGGUUUUUGAUUCUAUGAAAAUUUUAUUUUUAUCUCUAACUUGUUGGCUCAAUAAUUAUGCAUGGUCUAUUUUUUUUACAGCAUUUUUAAUCAUGAUUGUUUUCUCUAGUAUUUAUUUUUCUUUUUGGGCAGGAUCUAAUGGACAAAGUUAUAGGUUUGCUCUCGGACAAUGAAAGUGAGUUACCAUAGAAUUUUGUUGUCUUCAAUAGAAUGUUAUUGUUCACCUUUGGUACUGUUAGUCAAGACCACAUGGGUGAACUCAACUUGUUUAGAAUCAAAGCCAUAACGUUUUGCUUACAUGCCUUGACAGAUUUUAACUCAACUUGAUAAAUGUUGCUAUAUAUGGGUGAAAACUUUGUGCAGUUUGCUCUGUAAAGACCUCUAAUUGAUGAUGCUUACAGGUGCUUUUUUCUAUUUUCAUGUUAUGUUCAUGAAAUCCUGACAGUUGUUAUGUAAUGUGUCUUCUAAAACUAUAAUUUUCCAGUCUACUUACUGGAAAAUAGUGUUGUUUCCCCUUAUUUUUUGUUCACAUGUUGUGUGUUAAACCAAUUAUUUUACACAUAAAAAUGCAGAUAAUGGAUGAGAGAUGCUUUUAGUUCAAAGAGCAAAACAACAAAGUUAAAAAAAGCAUAGCUAGCUAACCAAAAGUUAGAUCAAUAGAAAGGCAAUACAGGACCAAGAUUUCACAGCAAUGAACUACUGACUUCCCAGCAACAAUCAGAAUAAAUUUACAGUUAAUUGAUAUAUUAUUUAGUCACCUCCCAGGUUUCAUUUUGGUUGUAUAAUUUAUAUAUAUAUAAAAAACUCAAUAUCAGAUUUCAUGACAGAAAAUCAUUCAAUUUAUCUUUUAUUCAAACUGUCAUUGAAUAAGGAAAGAAAAAAGACAGUCCUAUGCCCAUAAAAUUUAAUUGAAUAUAACCAGCAUCAUGUUCACAUUCACCUCCAAAAUAAACAAAUUAAUUCAUGAUAUAAUGAAGCAACCAUUUAAAAUUGAGUAAAAUAGACUUACCUAAGCCCCAAGAAUCAAUGGCCCAAAGUGGAGGUUGUCUUAUUGCAACCCAAUCAGACUUAGCCAACUCUAUGGUUUAUAUUGUGAUCCAAUAAGCCAUUUAUAUUGCUGGAAAAAUAAAAAACAUAAACAGUAAUGUUAAACCCAUCAAGCUAUAACCAUUGAUAGUCUUUAAAACAAAUUCAAGUUAAACUAUGAAAAAAUGAAAUAAUAUCAUCACUGGUAGCUCUUAAAUCGACCAUCCACCACCAUAAAGAAUUCUAAACUUAUUUAAUGCAGUUCUCAAAAAGUAAUCAGAGUCUAUCUAUCCUACUUGCAAAAACUGCAUAAAAAUAAAAUAAAAUUAAAUAAAUUAAAUUUUCUAACAUUAAAUACUCAAAGGAAUGCAUACAAGCCCAAACUAUGCAUGAAAAAUAAAUUACACAAAAAAAAUGCAGAGUUGACACCUGAUUGAAGAAGUUAAUAUUGACUUGAAGUGAUACACAAGUUCAUACCAUGUAGAACCUUGGCCUGAUAUGUGAUCCAUGGAGCAAUAUGAAAAGAUAACCCAAAUGGUUCUCGUGAAUAUAAGACCCUCUGUAAAAAAGCCAAUCAAAAGAGCAGCUGCUAUAAGAUGCCAUGUUUAUAAACUGUGGAUUCUAAAUGAUUUUUAAAUCGAAACAUCAAGCAGAGACAAAUUUAACAAUGACUGGAUCAAGAAAUCAAUGAGCAAGAAAAACAUCAGUUCUUAGAUAGAAAGAUGUUAACUGUGACAGAUAAAACGUAUUCAGAUAAUUCAUUGUUAAAAAUUACAUUAACAACACUCAAUUCAACCAGCCACCUUGCUCGUAAACAACACCCAGCAUCAAUAAGACUACUUGCAUAAUUUUCAAUUAAACAUUUAUAAUUUCCAUCAAUCACUCUCUUCCACACACAUGAAUUACCAGCAUUGGUCAAUUUGCCUAAAAUCAUUCAAUUUAUGAACUGUAACCCUAAAAAUUAAAUUGGAGGUUUUGAUAAAUUUUCAAUUAAACAUGCACAAUUAGGUUAUAGAUCAUGGUAAAAACAUUUCAUAAACCCCUAUAUUAUCGAAUUAAUAGCCUAAAACCAUUAUUAAAAGUAUUGAAAAAAAAAUGUUACUUGUGUUCUUGAGUCACAGGUGACCGAGAUCGUUCUAUAGGACAAAAAAAAACCUGAGAUUGGAAAAGUUAGGUGAAAACUUUUUAGUGCAAGUUAAAUUGCAACAAAAAAAAAAACAAAAACCCUUAAUUACUUACCUGAACUAUUGAAGAGAAUUGUGAAACACCCAACCCGUUUACAAGGAGAAACCUUAAAUCAACAUGUUCGAUGGUGAUAAUGAUGGGUCUGGUUCGAUUUUGUUCAGGUGAAGGAGAAGAAGAUGAAGAAAGAAAUUUAGGGAUGCUGAAGACUCGAAGAAGAUGAAAUGUUUGGGAUAAAGGGAAAACAAAUCGAUGAACAGAGGGUGAUUUUUCUACAGUUAUGGAUCGAUGUUGUUAGGGAUGAAGGAGACUGGAAGAGUGGAGGAUCAUUAAUUUUCAUCAGUUGGUUUUGUUCAUUUGGUCUCAAUCUGUUUGCAUUUCGG